Molecule: ribosomal RNA, 626 nt
Filed under: Leuconostoc mesenteroides
Lineage: Bacteria; Bacillati; Bacillota; Bacilli; Lactobacillales; Lactobacillaceae
Description: bacterial SSU rRNA
Rfam family: Bacterial small subunit ribosomal RNA
Source: RNAcentral
GAGUUUGAUCCUGGCUCAGGAUGAACGCUGGCGGCGUGCCUAAUACAUGCAAGUCGAACGCACAGCGAAAGGUGCUUGCACCUUUCAAGUGAGUGGCGAACGGGUGAGUAACACGUGGACAACCUGCCUCAAGGCUGGGGAUAACAUUUGGAAACAGAUGCUAAUACCGAAUAAAACUUAGUGUCGCAUGACACAAAGUUAAAAGGCGCUUCGGCGUCACCUAGAGAUGGAUCCGCGGUGCAUUAGUUAGUUGGUGGGGUAAAGGCCUACCAAGACAAUGAUGCAUAGCCGAGUUGAGAGACUGAUCGGCCACAUUGGGACUGAGACACGGCCCAAACUCCUACGGGAGGCUGCAGUAGGGAAUCUUCCACAAUGGGCGAAAGCCUGAUGGAGCAACGCCGCGUGUGUGAUGAAGGCUUUCGGGUCGUAAAGCACUGUUGUAUGGGAAGAACAGCUAGAAUAGGAAAUGAUUUUAGUUUGACGGUACCAUACCAGAAAGGGACGGCUAAAUACGUGCCAGCAGCCGCGGUAAUACGUAUGUCCCGAGCGUUAUCCGGAUUUAUUGGGCGUAAAGCGAGCGCAGACGGUUUAUUAAGUCUGAUGUGAAAGCCCGGAGCUCAACUCCG